Non-coding RNA from Pelobates cultripes (western spadefoot toad), 85 nucleotides. NCBI's taxonomy places the organism in Eukaryota, Metazoa, Chordata, Amphibia, Anura, Pelobatidae. The record is from the annotation of a GenBank genome assembly.
CCCUCCCUCCCAGACCCUCCCAACUCCUGGACAGCAUUCAUUCUUAGUGAGCUGUCCAGGAGGUGGGAGGGUCUGGGAGGGAGGG